Molecule: ribosomal RNA, 500 nt
Filed under: uncultured bacterium
Lineage: Bacteria
Description: partial 16S ribosomal RNA
Rfam family: Bacterial small subunit ribosomal RNA
Source: RNAcentral
AUUGAACGCUGGCGGAAUGCUUUACACAUGCAAGUCGAACGGCAGCACGGGGGUAACCCUGGAGGCGAGUGGCGAACGGGUGAGUAAUACAUCGGAACGUGCCCAAUCGUGGGGGAUAACGUAGCGAAAGCUACGCUAAUACCGCAUACGAUCUACGGAUGAAAGCGGGGGAUCGCAAGACCUCGCGCGAAUGGAGCGGCCGAUGGCAGAUUAGGUAGUUGGUGGGGUAAAGGCUCACCAAGCCAACGAUCUGUAGCUGGUCUGAGAGGACGACCGGCCACACUGGGACUGAGACACGGUCCAGACUCCUACGGGAGGCAGCAGUGGGGAAUUUUGGACAAUGGGCGCAAGCCUGAUCCAGCCAUUCCGCGUGCAGGAUGAAGGCCUUCGGGUUGUAAACUGCUUUUGUACGGAACGAAACGGCCCUUUCUAAUACAGAGGGCUAAUGACGGUACCGUAAGAAUAAGCACCGGCUAACUACGUGCCAGCCGCCGCCGUAA